CGACAGAGCCCUGAGGACGGCAAGGGACCCUGAGCGCAUUUCCUUUUCCGUCCAGGAGCCCACUGAAAACCUCAGAGCCACAGGAAUCCCCGAAUCCAAGCGGGGCUCAUUCUUAGGGAAGUGCUGUGAGCUACAGUAUCCUCGUUCUCUGCGGGGGACUGGUUCCUGGAUCUCCCCAUGCCCGGGAAUACCGAAAUCCGAGGAUGCCCAAGCCCCGUACAUAAACGCGGAGUACUGGCAUGAGACAGAGGCUGACCUUUGAGGGAGACCGACACGUUAUUGACCCCUCGCCGGCAGGGAGGCAUCUCCGGGGGCUCUGCGUCCAGCACACGUCUCACGUGGCUGAGGCUAUAGCCAUGGAUGGAGUCGGUGCUGAGGCCCA
Long non-coding RNA from Rhinolophus ferrumequinum (greater horseshoe bat), 382 nucleotides. RefSeq lists it as uncharacterized. The transcript is spliced from 3 exons. NCBI's taxonomy places the organism in Eukaryota, Metazoa, Chordata, Mammalia, Chiroptera, Rhinolophidae. The record is from RefSeq and is a predicted model, not a curated record.